UUGACCUCAAAUCAGGUAGGACUACCCGCUGAACUUAAGCAUAUCAAUAAGCGGAGGAAAAGAAACUAACAAGGAUUCCCCUAGUAACUGCGAGUGAAGUGGGAAAAGCUCAAAUUUAAAAUCUGACAGUUGUUGACUGUCUGAGUUGUAACCUAGAGAAGUGCUACCUGUGCUGGACCAUGUAUAAGUCUCCUGGAAUGGAGUGUCAGAGAGGGUGAGAAUCCCGUCCUUGACAUGGACUGCCAGUGUAUUGUGGUGUGCUCUCAAAGAGUCGAGUUGUUUGGGAAUGCAGCUCUAAAUGGGUGGUAAAUUCCAUCUAAAGCUAAAUAUUGGCGAGAGACCGAUAGCGAACAAGUACCGUGAGGGAAAGAUGAAAAGAACUUUGGAAAGAGAGUUAAACAGUACGUGAAAUUGUUGAAAGGGAAACAUUUGAAGUCAGUUUUGUUAGCUGGGGAUCAACCUGGCUUUUCUGCUUGGGUGUAUUUCCUGGUUGACAGGCCAACAUCAGUUUUGACCAUUAGAAAAAGACCAAGGAAAUGUGGCACCUUUGGGUGUGUUUAUAGUCCUUGGUUGUAUGUGGUGGUUAGGACUGAGGCAUGCAGCACACUACAAGGCUGGGYUUUGCCACAUUUGUGCUUAGGAUGUUGGCAUAAUGGCUUUAAGUGACCCGUCUUGAAACACGGACCAAGGAGUCUAACAUGCCUGCAAGUGCUUGGGUGGAAAACCCAUGUGCAAAAUGAAAGUGAAAGUUGAGAUCCCUGUCAUAGGGAGCAUUG
This 776-nucleotide ribosomal RNA is filed under the name Amanita sp. 'whetstoneae'. RNAcentral's name for it is "partial large subunit ribosomal RNA". Lineage: Eukaryota; Fungi; Basidiomycota; Agaricomycetes; Agaricales; Amanitaceae. The record is from RNAcentral.